AUUGAACGCUGGCGGCAGGCUUAACACAUGCAAGUCGAACGGUAACAUAAAGGAGCUUGCUUCUUUGAUGACGAGUGGCGGACGGGUGAGUAAUGCUUGGGAAUCUAGCUUAUGUAGGGGGAUAACUACGGGAAACUGUAGCUAAUACCGCGUAGAAUCGGGAGAUGAAAGUGUGGGACCUUCGGGCCACAUGCCAUAGGAUGAGCCCAAGUGGGAUUAGGUAGUUGGUGAGGUAAAGGCUCACCAAGCCGACGAUCUCUAGCUGGUCUGAGAGGAUGACCAGCCACACUGGGACUGAGACACGGCCCAGACUCCUACGGGAGGCAGCAGUGGGGAAUAUUGCGCAAUGGGGGCAACCCUGACGCAGCCAUGCCGCGUGAAUGAAGAAGGCCUUCGGGUUGUAAAGUUCUUUCGGUAGCGAGGAAGGCAUUUAGUUUAAUAGACUAGGUGAUUGACGUUAACUACAGAAGAAGCACCGGCUAACUCCGUG
RNAcentral lists this ribosomal RNA (490 nucleotides) under uncultured bacterium. RNAcentral's name for it is "partial 16S ribosomal RNA". It matches the Rfam family "Bacterial small subunit ribosomal RNA", at positions 30 to 507 of the family's 1533-position model. The record is from RNAcentral.